This 750-nucleotide ribosomal RNA is filed under the name uncultured bacterium. Its description in RNAcentral is "bacterial SSU rRNA". It matches the Rfam family "Bacterial small subunit ribosomal RNA", at positions 61 to 794 of the family's 1533-position model. The record is from RNAcentral.
GUUGAGCGCUGAAGGUUGGUACUUGUACCGACUGGAUGAGCAGCGAACGGGUGAGUAACGCGUGGGGAAUCUGCCUUUGAGCGGGGGACAACAUUUGGAAACGAAUGCUAAUACCGCAUAAAAACUUUAAACACAAGUUUUAAGUUUGAAAGAUGCAAUUGCAUCACUCAAAGAUGAUCCCGCGUUGUAUUAGCUAGUUGGUGAGGUAAAGGCUCACCAAGGCGAUGAUACAUAGCCGACCUGAGAGGGUGAUCGGCCACAUUGGGACUGAGACACGGCCCAAACUCCUACGGGAGGCAGCAGUAGGGAAUCUUCGGCAAUGGACGAAAGUCUGACCGAGCAACGCCGCGUGAGUGAAGAAGGUUUUCGGAUCGUAAAACUCUGUUGGUAGAGAAGAACGUUGGUGAGAGUGGAAAGCUCAUCAAGUGACGGUAACUACCCAGAAAGGGACGGCUAACUACGUGCCAGCAGCCGCGGUAAUACGUAGGUCCCGAGCGUUGUCCGGAUUUAUUGGGCGUAAAGCGAGCGCAGGUGGUUUAUUAAGUCUGGUGUAAAAGGCAGUGGCUCAACCAUUGUAUGCAUUGGAAACUGGUAGACUUGAGUGCAGGAGAGGAGAGUGGAAUUCCAUGUGUAGCGGUGAAAUGCGUAGAUAUAUGGAGGAACACCGGUGGCGAAAGCGGCUCUCUGGCCUGUAACUGACACUGAGGCUCGAAAGCGUGGGGAGCAAACAGGAUUAGAUACCCUGGUAGU